GAUGAAGAACGUAGCGAAAUGCGAUAAGUAAUGUGAAUUGCAGAAUUCCGUGAAUCAUCGAAUUUUUGAACGCACAUUGCGCCCGCUGGUAUUCCGGCGGGCAUGCCUGUUCGAGCGUCAUUUCAACCCUCAAGCCCCCGGGUUUGGUGUUGGGGAUCGGCUCUGCCCUUCUGGGCGGUGCCGCCCCCGAAAUACAUUGGCGGUCUCGCUGCAGCCUCCAUUGCGUAGUAGCUAACCACUCGCAACUGGAACGCGGCGCGGCCAUGCCGUAAAACCCCAACUUCUGAAUGUUGACCUCGGAUCAGGUAGGAAUACCCGCUGAACUUAAGCAUAUCAAUAAGCGGAGGA
Molecule: unclassified non-coding RNA, 348 nt
Filed under: soil metagenome
Description: partial contains 5.8S ribosomal RNA, internal transcribed spacer 2, and large subunit ribosomal RNA
Rfam family: 5.8S ribosomal RNA (bases 1-120)
Source: RNAcentral